Molecule: ribosomal RNA, 497 nt
Filed under: uncultured bacterium
Lineage: Bacteria
Description: partial 16S ribosomal RNA
Rfam family: Bacterial small subunit ribosomal RNA
Source: RNAcentral
GAUGAACGCUGGCGGCGUGCCUAAUACAAGCAAGUCGAGCGAACAGACGAGGAGCUUGCUCCUCUGACGUUAGCGGCGGACGGGUGAGUAACACGUGGAUAACCUACCUAUAAGACUGGGAUAACUUCGGGAAACCGGAGCUAAUACCGGAUAAUAUAUUGAACCGCAUGGUUCAAUAGUGAAAGACGGUUUUGCUGUCACUUAUAGAUGGAUCCGCGCCGCAUUAGCUAGUUGGUAAGGUAACGGCUUACCAAGGCAACGAUGCGUAGCCGACCUGAGAGGGUGAUCGGCCACACUGGAACUGAGACACGGUCCAGACUCCUACGGGAGGCAGCAGUAGGGAAUCUUCCGCAAUGGGCGAAAGCCUGACGGAGCAACGCCGCGUGAGUGAUGAAGGUCUUCGGAUCGUAAAACUCUGUUAUUAGGGAAGAACAAAUGCGUAAGUAACUAUGCACGUCUUGACGGUACCUAAUCAGAAAGCCACGGCUAACUACGUG